AACGUAGGAGACAAACGUUAUCCGGAGUUACUGGGCGUAAAGGGCGUGUAGGCGGUCUGUUAAGUCUGGCGUGAAAGCUCUCGGCUAAACCGGGAGAGGUCGUUGGAUACUGGCAGACUAGAGGACGGUAGAGGCGUGUGGAAUUCCGGGUGUAGUGGUGAAAUGCGUAGAGAUCCGGAGGAACACCAGUGGCGAAGGCGACACGCUGGGCCGUACCUGACGCUGAGGAGCGAAAGUGUGGGGAGCGAACAGG
Molecule: ribosomal RNA, 253 nt
Filed under: uncultured bacterium
Lineage: Bacteria
Description: partial 16S ribosomal RNA
Rfam family: Bacterial small subunit ribosomal RNA
Source: RNAcentral